UACGUAGGGGGCAAGCGUUGUCCGGAUUUAUUGGGAGUAAAGAGCGUGUAGGCGGCUAGGUAGGUCCGUUGUGAAAACUCGAGGCUCAACCUCGAGACGCCGAUGGAAACCAUCUGGCUAGAGUCCGGAAGAGGAGAGUGGAAUUCCUGGUGUAGCGGUGAAAUGCGCAGAUAUCAGGAGGAACACCGAUGGCGAAGGCAGGUCUCUGGGCAUUAACUGACGCUGAGGAGCGAAAGCAUGGGGAGCGAACAGG
RNAcentral lists this ribosomal RNA (253 nucleotides) under uncultured bacterium. RNAcentral describes it as "partial 16S ribosomal RNA". It matches the Rfam family "Bacterial small subunit ribosomal RNA", at positions 524 to 776 of the family's 1533-position model. The record is from RNAcentral.